Long non-coding RNA from Talpa occidentalis (Iberian mole), 512 nucleotides. RefSeq lists it as uncharacterized. NCBI's taxonomy places the organism in Eukaryota, Metazoa, Chordata, Mammalia, Eulipotyphla, Talpidae. The record is from RefSeq and is a predicted model, not a curated record. The transcript is spliced from 3 exons.
UGGUUGUACAGCUGGCUCAGCCACUGAGUAGCCAUGUGUAGCCUUGGGCAAGUUACCUAACACCAUGAUGAGAGACUCUUCUUUAUUCACUACUACCCAUGACUCUGAUUGGAAAUGUUUGGGUGAUUCAAGGAUGCUGCAUCAGGAUGCUUAUCAUUGAUCCACAGUUUUUUUCCUAUUAGGUCUCAACAGAUUGGAUGGUGCCCACCCACAUUGAAGAGGACAAUCUACUUAAUCCGACUGUUUCAAAUGCUGAUCUCACCCAGAAUUCCAACUGAUUCUGUCCCAUAAGCCAUCUGAGAGUGACUCUUUCCAGGAAAGUGAAGAAAAUUCCCGAGGGCCUGUGAUUCCAAAGUGGGAAAAAGAAAAAGAGCUAGCUCAUGCACUGAACACAAUGAUGACCCAGUUUCUGAUUUUGUCUAGGAUGUCACAGUAAUAUAAAAAGAACAGAGAAGAACAAGGGACAUGAAUCUUGAGCUCUUAAGAAUUAAAGUCUUGCCAAUAUGGUUGUU